UCACCCAGUUAGUGUAUGGCCUAUUUCU
RNAcentral lists this non-coding RNA (28 nucleotides) under Homo sapiens (human). The record is from RNAcentral. Lineage: Eukaryota; Metazoa; Chordata; Mammalia; Primates; Hominidae.